CACACUAAACUUUAAACGGUACCUCUGUGUCUCUGUGUGUGCUGAACAUCUAGAAUUAGGAGUGAGCCAGGCUGCAUCAGCAGAAUCUGUUAUAUGUAAAUAUCAGUAUUUUCUAUUCAGGUGUCAGGAAAAUAGGUAAGACUGCAGUGAAGCGAUGUACCAGAUUAAUCCCUGGCCAAAGAACAGUUCUCCACAGUCACUGUCCACAUGGGUCAGUGGGACCAAGCAGCACUCUGCUAAUGUGUGGACUCUGACCAGCAACAUCCAGCAAGACCCAGACAGCGUUUUCUAUCUCCCAGCUGGAGUUUUUUUGUUUGUCUGUGACUGGAGAGUCAGAUUUUGUUGAGGCUGGAGGAACAGCCUCACACUUGCAGAGGUUAAUACACGCUACUGAUCCCUGAUGGGAGAAUCAUCACCUCUGCCAGCAAAGAAGCCUGGUGGAUGUUUGUUUACAGUCUGAUGAUGGGACAUCAUGCUCUGCAUCUUCAAAGUUUGUCUCUUGAUUAUUCUUCAUACACAGUAAUGUGAAGUAUGCUCAUAUCUAGUAUAACUGGACCAACGUGGUGCUCUUCAUUUAUGGAGGCUGCAGAGUCUGAAUGUUGGAUGUUGUGUAUCUCGUGUUCUCUGGGCUUUGUUGUCCUCAGUCUUUUUGCAGGAUCAGAAAACAAAACCAGGAGGCCUGUAAAUGUUUCUUUUCCAGUUGGAUGAUGAUAAGACUGUGACACGGGAUGCCACCUUUAGUCUUGUGAUGAGGCAAAGCUCAGGAAGAAGUGUGAUUAAAUGGUACCCACAUGUGUGCUGCUGAGAAGGAUGUACAGGGGCACCUGCAGCCAAAUCCAAGCCUCCUCAGCAGCUUCAGGUCUGUCAGCGUGCUGAGGUCACAGAAACAAGAAAAGCAGCUUCAGACUUCAGAGUGUUGUUUACAGUUUUCUGUCAUCAUGAUCUCCCCUGAAGUUUAUCACUAUUACCCAAGCA
Oreochromis niloticus (Nile tilapia) is the source of this 975-nucleotide long non-coding RNA. RefSeq lists it as uncharacterized. The record is from RefSeq and is a predicted model, not a curated record. Lineage: Eukaryota; Metazoa; Chordata; Actinopteri; Cichliformes; Cichlidae. The transcript is spliced from 4 exons.